This 497-nucleotide ribosomal RNA is filed under the name uncultured bacterium. RNAcentral's name for it is "partial 16S ribosomal RNA". It matches the Rfam family "Bacterial small subunit ribosomal RNA", at positions 28 to 507 of the family's 1533-position model. The record is from RNAcentral.
GAUGAACGCUGGCGGCGUGCCUAAUACAUGCAAGUCGAGCGAACAGAUAAGGAGCUUGCUCCUUUGACGUUAGCGGCGGACGGGUGAGUAACACGUGGAUAACCUACCUAUAAGACUGGGAUAACUUCGGGAAACCGGAGCUAAUACCGGAUAACAUAUUGAACCGCAUGGUUCAAUAGUGAAAGGCGGCUUUGCUGUCACUUAUAGAUGGAUCCGCGCCGUAUUAGCUAGUUGGUAAGGUAACGGCUUACCAAGGCAACGAUACGUAGCCGACCUGAGAGGGUGAUCGGCCACACUGGAACUGAGUCACGGUCCAGACUCCUACGGGAGGCAGCAGUAGGGAAUCUUCCGCAAUGGGCGAAAGCCUGACGGAGCAACGCCGCGUGAGUGAUGAAGGUCUUCGGAUCGUAAAACUCUGUUAUCAGGGAAGAACAAAUGUGUAAGUAACUGUGCACAUCUUGACGGUACCUGAUCAGAAAGCCACGGCUAACUACGUG